Molecule: ribosomal RNA, 460 nt
Filed under: uncultured Prevotella sp.
Lineage: Bacteria; Pseudomonadati; Bacteroidota; Bacteroidia; Bacteroidales; Prevotellaceae
Description: bacterial SSU rRNA
Rfam family: Bacterial small subunit ribosomal RNA
Source: RNAcentral
CCUACGGGAGGCAGCAGUGAGGAAUAUUGGUCAAUGGACGUAAGUCUGAACCAGCCAAGUAGCGUGCAGGAUGACGGCCCUAUGGGUUGUAAACUGCUUUUUUAUGGGAAUAAAGUGAGGGACGUGUCCCUUUUUGCAGGUACCAUACGAAUAAGGACCGGCUAAUUCCGUGCCAGCAGCCGCGGUAAUACGGAAGGUCCAGGCGUUAUCCGGAUUUAUUGGGUUUAAAGGGAGCGUAGGCCGGAGAUUAAGUGUGUUGUGAAAUGUAGACGCUCAACGUCUGACUUGCAGCGCAUACUGGUUUCCUUGAGUACGCACAACGUUGGCGGAAUUCGUCGUGUAGCGGUGAAAUGCUUAGAUAUGACGAAGAACUCCGAUUGCGAAGGCAGCUGACGGGAGCGCAACUGACGCUUAAGCUCGAAGGUGCGGGUAUCAAACAGGAUUAGAUACCCUGGUAGUC